RNAcentral lists this ribosomal RNA (252 nucleotides) under uncultured bacterium. RNAcentral describes it as "partial 16S ribosomal RNA". It matches the Rfam family "Bacterial small subunit ribosomal RNA", at positions 524 to 777 of the family's 1533-position model. The record is from RNAcentral.
UACAGAGGUCCCGAGCGUUGUUCGGAUUCAUUGGGCGUAAAGGGUGCGUAGCGGCCGCCUAAGUUUGAUGUGAAAUCCCGGGGCUUAACCCUGGAAUUGCAUUGAAUACUGGGUGGCUAGAGUACUGGAGAGGAAACUGGAAUUUACGGUGUAGCAGUGAAAUGCGUAGAGAUCGUAAGGAAGACCGUGGCGAAGGCGAGUUUCUGGACAGUUACUGACGCUGAGGCACGAAGGCCAGGGGAGCAAACGGGG